GGAGAUUUCAUCUAAUGGUUAGGAUUGCACAUUUUCGUUGUGUCUAUAUGGGUUCAAGUCCCAUAAUCUCUA
This 72-nucleotide transfer RNA is filed under the name Paulinella micropora. It matches the Rfam family "tRNA". Rfam says of the family: Transfer RNA (tRNA) molecules are approximately 80 nucleotides in length. Their secondary structure includes four short double-helical elements and three loops (D, anti-codon, and T loops). Further hydrogen bonds mediate the characteristic L-shaped molecular structure. tRNAs have two regions of fundamental functional importance: the anti-codon, which is responsible for specific mRNA codon recognition, and the 3' end, to which the tRNAs corresponding amino acid is attached (by aminoacyl-tRNA synthetases). tRNAs cope with the degeneracy of the genetic code in two manners: having more than one tRNA (with a specific anti-codon) for a particular amino acid; and 'wobble' base-pairing, i.e. permitting non-standard base-pairing at the 3rd anti-codon position. The record is from Rfam by way of RNAcentral. Lineage: Eukaryota; Cercozoa; Imbricatea; Euglyphida; Paulinellidae.